RNAcentral lists this ribosomal RNA (261 nucleotides) under uncultured archaeon. Its description in RNAcentral is "partial 16S ribosomal RNA". It matches the Rfam family "Archaeal small subunit ribosomal RNA", at positions 748 to 1009 of the family's 1478-position model. The record is from RNAcentral.
UAGCCGUAAACGAUACUCGCUAGGUGUCGGCCACGGUGCGACCGUUGUCGGUGCCGUAGGGAAGCCGUGAAGCGUGCCACCUGGGAAGUACGGCCGCAAGGCUGAAACUUAAAGGAAUUGGCGGGGGAGCACAACAACGGGUGGAGCUUGCGGUUUAAUUGGAUUCAACGCCGGAAAUCUUACCGGGACCGACAGCAACAUGAAGGCCAAGCUGAAGACUUUGCCGGAUUAGCUGAGAGGAGGUGCAUGGCGUAGUCGUGU